RNAcentral lists this ribosomal RNA (372 nucleotides) under uncultured bacterium. RNAcentral describes it as "bacterial SSU rRNA". It matches the Rfam family "Bacterial small subunit ribosomal RNA", at positions 29 to 433 of the family's 1533-position model. The record is from RNAcentral.
AACGAACGCUGGCGGCAGGCCUAACACAUGCAAGUCGAACGCUCCGCAAGGGGAGUGGCAGACGGGUGAGUAACACGUGGGAAUCUUCCUGUUGGUACGGAAUAGCUCAGGGAAACUUGGGGUAAUACCGUAUAAGCCCGAGAGGGGAAAGAUUUAUCGCCGACAGAUGAGCCCGCGUCUGAUUAGCUAGUUGGUGAGGUAAUGGCUCACCAAGGCGACGAUCAGUAGCGGUCUGAGAGGAUGACCAGCCACACUGGGACUGAGACACGGCCCAGACUCCUACGGGAGGCAGCAGUGGGAAUAUUGGACAAUGGCGCAAGCCUGAUCCAGCCAUGCCGCGUGAGUGACGAAGGUCUUCGGAUUGUAAAGCUC